This 87-nucleotide small nucleolar RNA is filed under the name Nomascus leucogenys (northern white-cheeked gibbon). RNAcentral's name for it is "Small nucleolar RNA U3". It matches the Rfam family "Small nucleolar RNA U3". From Rfam's summary of the family: Small nucleolar RNAs (snoRNAs) are involved in the processing and modification of rRNA in the nucleolus. There are two main classes of snoRNAs: the box C/D class, and the box H/ACA class. The record is from Rfam by way of RNAcentral. Lineage: Eukaryota; Metazoa; Chordata; Mammalia; Primates; Hylobatidae.
AAGACUCUACUUUCAGGGAUCAUUUCUAUAGUCCAUUCCUAGAGAAGUUUCUCUGAAAGUGUACAGCAGCAGUCCCCAGUCCCUGGG